AUGUCUCUAGAAAAAAAAGAAAAGUAUAAUAAGAGGAAAGAAAGGACAAAGAAAGCAAGAGAAGUUCAUGUUGACUUGGUACAGAAGUCACAUCCUGGGGUGAGCAACACAUGUGUGAAUGAUUCCACAAGUGUUUCCAAGGGAAAGCAUGUGGCAUUUCACCUGAGUUAUGUAUUGUUUCAAACAUCCAGUGGAGGGUUUCUGGUAUCUCUCUUGAACUCUGGUGAGCUCAUGUCUGAAGCAGUUUGGUGAAGUGUGAGCCAGAUGUAGCCAGAUGGGUUGGGAGCUACAGAGGGGGCAGGCAAAAGUGAUGUGAAGAAUGCUCAAAGGGCCAGCCCGUCUGAUUUAUAAAGAGAAGCAUUGAGGGUGUAAAGGCAUGUAUACAAAUACCUGCAGUUAUCCAACACAUGGGGACCCUGAGGAGGAAGCAGGAUCUUGGCACUUUAUAACACUUGGAAUUAACAAUUUGGACAACAACUAAAAAGAAAAACAUGAAUCCAAUAUUUCUGAUGCCAGUAAAAUCUCCUUGGCUCUGGAAUAGUCAUUUUCCGUGAAGUGCAGCCCUCUCACAUGCACAAACUUGCUGAAAACAAAACGAUGAAGCACCAGGAAGCUGACAGCCAGUCAUUU
RNAcentral lists this long non-coding RNA (630 nucleotides) under Pan troglodytes (chimpanzee). Its description in RNAcentral is "lncRNA (ENSPTRG00000053700.1)". Lineage: Eukaryota; Metazoa; Chordata; Mammalia; Primates; Hominidae. The record is from RNAcentral.